AGAGCCAUUUCUUGCUCUGUAAUUGAAACGAAACGAUCAUCUGCCGAGAAUGAUGAAAAAGAAAUCUCAAGUUUGCAAGAUGAGGU
Molecule: long non-coding RNA, 86 nt
Organism: Xenia sp. Carnegie-2017
Lineage: Eukaryota; Metazoa; Cnidaria; Anthozoa; Malacalcyonacea; Xeniidae
Exons: 2
Source: RefSeq, a predicted model, not a curated record